ACAUCCAAGACUUUCUGAACUGCUCCAACGGUGUUGGAAACAAGAUCCAAUUGAGAGACCAGCUUUCUCCGAAAUAAUUGAAAUUCUUCAGAACAUAGCAAAAGAGGUAAACUACUGCUGAAAUUCAUACAAUAGCACUCAAUUGGACCUAUUAAGUAAUUUUCUGCUUCAUGUUUCUACCAGGUCAACGAUACAAAAACAGAUCGACACAAAGACAAAUCAUCCCAUCAUGGCUUUCUAUCAACACUUAAACGUGCCCAUAACUGAUAUUUAUACCCAUAUAAAGAUUAUACAACAGCAUAACCUUUUUGUCCUGUACAGUAGGUCUGACCAAGAUUGAGUUGGCUGUUUCUGCCCUUUGAAGGAUUCUGUUGUACUCUGCUAUUGCCUUAGUUUUGUCUUGCAUUCUGCUCCUCCCUUGUGUCAACUCAACUUUAUAGGAUGGAUGCAAGAGCAGUGAAAGUCGGAAAAUUUAAGGCAACCUGUAAUCUUGAAAUUUUGCUGUAUGUUUUCCACGCAUUUCAUAUUGGAGCUUACGAUGCACUCCUGUGUCCAAAUCCCUUUGUUUUGGUAUGUAACAAGAUUGGACUCUAUCAAUUUGCGUUUGAUUGUCCACAAAUAAUCUAAACACCACGAUUUUGUCCAAAGACUAUCAGCUGCUUGUUAUUGCAAUCAACAAAGAAUGAUUAUUGCUAUGGAUUAAACAGCAACCAACACUUUACUUUUGACUGGAUCAAAUCACUAUUUAAUAUUUACACAGGUGUAACUACUAACUAGUCACCACUGAUAUUACGCUGCUGAAAAGCUAAACUUAUUUAAUUGUAUUUGUAAUUUACUUGUGAUUAAUAUGAAGGAGCUUGUAAUUGGAAUUGUGAUCGAGUUGCUAGUGUUACGAACUUACGAUGAUCUGUAAAUAAAGUUUUGCGACUCGCUUAACGUUAUGUCAGCCUAGUUUAAGAGAGAAAAUAAAGAAUUUUGAACAGUAUGAUAAAAGUUCAGCAGUUAACAUAAAAAAACCAUUGUAAAUGUGAUUCUUUCAAGCACUCCACCCUCGGGCAUCCACAGCCAUAACAUCCAGGGAAGAUUUUUUCCUUCUUAUAAUUUGACCUAUAUCUAUCUCUACCCAAAAAUUGAUUCAUGAGUAAGAUUUUAUACGGUGCUUGCGGUAUUUCUAUGGCUUCUUCACUUUAAUUUGUCGUUUGAGCUACUUGUUUAAUGAGGUAAGUAGGUAACAAUCCUAAAAAUUCACGGGGAAAGCUUGCUGCUUCCUGCUUGGAUCUUUCAGAAGUAGAGUACUAAACAUUGAAACUGUUGGGACCUGAGAGCUUAAUAGUGAUGACUGGUAGCAUGUGGGUUAUGUCUCUUGGUAAUCACAAAAACCAUUUCUUUUAUGAAGAAAAUAAAAUAGAGAAAAUUUGUAUGAACAAAGAGUUGUUCUAAGUUUUAGCUCGGCGAUUUUUUUCAUUUAUAAAUGAAGGUUUGGAACUAUAAGGACGUGAUGGCAUCAUCAACAACACAGCACAUCAAGCCAUGAACAACCUUUUUCUAAUUGUUGAUGCAAUAUAUUAAUAACCAUUUCUGCAUUUACAUGUACUUUUCAGUAUUUGGAUUCUUCAACUCUCAUUGCAGUUCCAUGUGUGGGUCUCUACCAAAAACUUAUUCUAUAUACAGCUGCAGCUCCAAUUCACCGUUCUGUUGGAAGUCCAGUUUGGGUCCACGCAGCAUAACCGCCAGCUAUGUCUGUGACUCCAGUGAACCCCUGAGGAUACAAUAAUCAAUAAAUUUUAGACACUAAAACUAUCUUUCAGCUAAAGUUUUGCAAGAUCAUUAGGUAUAUUCAAAAUGAAUCAGUGCAUUCAACUCAAAAGCUAAGACCUGAAAUUUCUCUAGAAGAACAAUAUCCAGAUUAUAGAGUGCAAAAUCAAACUAGAGGUGGAACCGUGUUUAUACCAUCACCAAAUGAUUAAGAUGCCAGGAAGUUAGCAGCACAAGUAAUCAUUAAUUUCGACACAAAAAGAUAAUGAAAUUAUUCUUAUGGAUUAAGAUGAAAUUCUUUCUUAUUUUACUCGAUCAAUCUAGUGUAUUCAGCUAGUCCUGGAAAGAUGCCUUUCUGUGAAAGAACAAAACUUGAUUCAGACAUUCAAACUAGGUGUUUGUUUUCACUUUUCAACUUCAAUCAACAAUGACAAUUGCCGAAUAUAAAACAUUUUUCUUCUGUGCGCACGAUAAACCUGUGUGGCUUAAAUUUCUAUUAGGGUCUACGGCCAUCGAUUCCCAAAAACACACAUCCAAGACUUUCUGAACUGCUCCAACGGUGUUGGAAACAAGAUCCAAUUGAGAGACCAGCUUUCUCCGAAAUAAUUGAAAUUCUUCAGAACAUAGCAAAAGAGGUAAACUACUGCUGAAAUUCAUACAAUAGCACUCAAUUGGACCUAUUAAGUAAUUUUCUGCUUCAUGUUUCUACCAGGUCAACGAUACAAAAACAGAUCGACACAAAGACAAAUCAUCCCAUCAUGGCUUUCUAUCAACACUUAAACGUGCCCAUAACUGAUAUUUAUACCCAUAUAAAGAUUAUACAACAGCAUAACCUUUUUGUCCUGUACAGUAGGUCUGACCAAGAUUGAGUUGGCUGUUUCUGCCCUUUGAAGGAUUCUGUUGUACUCUGCUAUUGCCUUAGUUUUGUCUUGCAUUCUGCUCCUCCCUUGUGUCAACUCAACUUUAUAGGAUGGAUGCAAGAGCAGUGAAAGUCGGAAAAUUUAAGGCAACCUGUAAUCUUGAAAUUUUGCUGUAUGUUUUCCACGCAUUUCAUAUUGGAGCUUACGAUGCACUCCUGUGUCCAAAUCCCUUUGUUUUGGUAUGUAACAAGAUUGGACUCUAUCAAUUUGCGUUUGAUUGUCCACAAAUAAUCUAAACACCACGAUUUUGUCCAAAGACUAUCAGCUGCUUGUUAUUGCAAUCAACAAAGAAUGAUUAUUGCUAUGGAUUAAACAGCAACCAACACUUUACUUUUG
This 3011-nucleotide long non-coding RNA is filed under the name Lotus japonicus. Its description in RNAcentral is "long non-coding RNA (LJAP_LNC001416)". The record is from RNAcentral. Lineage: Eukaryota; Viridiplantae; Streptophyta; Magnoliopsida; Fabales; Fabaceae.